Gasterosteus aculeatus aculeatus (three-spined stickleback) is the source of this 330-nucleotide non-coding RNA. Lineage: Eukaryota; Metazoa; Chordata; Actinopteri; Perciformes; Gasterosteidae. The record is from RefSeq and is a predicted model, not a curated record.
GCUCCGAUCGGGCUGUUUAUAACCACUUGAACCUGGUGAAAAACAACGACAACUCCAAGAUCCGGCCUUCUCGUUCUCGAUCAGUCACAUUGGUGAAACUGGAUGUGCUGCUAUAUGCCAUUCUAGACGUGAACGAAAAGGAACAGCAAUUUGUUUCCUACAUUUGGGUUUUUUCGAGGUGGUACGACUAUGACAUAAAUUGGAACCCUCAAAAUUUCUGCGAUAUUUGGAAGAUUUAUCCCCCUUCGGAUGUAUUGUGGACUCCAGAUCUAACAAUUGAAGAGAUGUGAGUUUUAAUGUGCAUACUCUCAUCCACAACCAUCCACACAU